GGGGAAUUUUGGACAAUGGGGGCAACCCUGAUCCAGCCAUUCCGCGUGUGUGAUGAAGGCCUUCGGGUUGUAAAGCACUUUUGGCAGAGAAGAAAAGAGACGGGCUAAUACCCUGUCUUGAUGACGGUAUCUGCAGAAUAAGCACCGGCUAACUACGUGCCAGCAGCCGCGGUAAUACGUAGGGUGCAAGCGUUAAUCGGAAUUACUGGGCGUAAAGCGUGCGCAGGCGGUUCGGAAAGAAAGAUGUGAAAUCCCAGGGCUCAACCUUGGAACUGCAUUUUUAACUCCCGGACUAGAGUAUGUCAGAGGGGGGUGGAAUUCCACGUGUAGCAGUGAAAUGCGUAGAGAUGUGGAGGAACACCGAUGGCGAAGGCAGCCCCCUGGGAUGAUACUGACGCUCAGGCACGAAAGCGUGGGUAGCAAAC
This 425-nucleotide ribosomal RNA is filed under the name uncultured bacterium. Its description in RNAcentral is "bacterial SSU rRNA". It matches the Rfam family "Bacterial small subunit ribosomal RNA", at positions 356 to 773 of the family's 1533-position model. The record is from RNAcentral.